AAGCCAUAUGCAGCAAGUAGGUCGAACGUGUUGUGGAACAACAGCAGCUGCCCAAGGGGAACACAGGCCAAUUCGCUAUUGUCCCUGGUGAUUGCAAAUCAUUAGCAAAUGUGCAGAAGUUUUCGCAAGUGCAAGGUGCAACCUCUGCACAGCUAGAUAGUGUGGAAUACCGAGGUCCCUUUGAGUUUGGAUUUGGCCAACCUCUGAUAUGUGCCAAGUAUCCUUAUGGAGAGCAGUGCUAUAGGUUAUAUA
This is a long non-coding RNA of Ipomoea nil (Japanese morning glory), 252 nucleotides long. RefSeq lists it as uncharacterized. The transcript is spliced from 3 exons. The record is from RefSeq and is a predicted model, not a curated record. Lineage: Eukaryota; Viridiplantae; Streptophyta; Magnoliopsida; Solanales; Convolvulaceae.